CGUGUAGGCGGCUUGGUAAAUCUGGUGUGAAACCUUGGAGCUCAACCCUAAGCGUGCACUGGAUACUGCCUGGCUUGAGUCCGGGAGGGGAGAGCGGAAUUCCUAGUGUAGCGGUGAAAUGCGCAGAUAUUAAAAAGAACACCUGUGGCGAAAGCGGCUCACUGGACCAUUACUGACGCUGAGGCACGAAAGCUAGGGAGUAAACA
Molecule: ribosomal RNA, 206 nt
Filed under: uncultured bacterium
Lineage: Bacteria
Description: partial 16S ribosomal RNA
Rfam family: Bacterial small subunit ribosomal RNA
Source: RNAcentral